Long non-coding RNA from Diceros bicornis minor, 227 nucleotides. RefSeq lists it as uncharacterized. The transcript has 3 exons. The record is from RefSeq and is a predicted model, not a curated record. Lineage: Eukaryota; Metazoa; Chordata; Mammalia; Perissodactyla; Rhinocerotidae.
AAGGAUAGGUGGACUUUGAAUUGUUUCUGGAGCGGCAUUUCUGGUUUUGCAAAGAUUUGUAAGGAGCCUGGGCAGGAGGAGAUAAGCCAAUGUAUCUGCCUAUUGAACCUACAGUUAAAAAUAAUUAUAAAGAACAUGGUGAUGCUUCAGAAACUGUCAGGAUCUUUACUCUUUGUCAGGCAGCCCUGAGACAUCAUUGAGAAGAAGGUGCCGGAACCACAGAUAUU